GACGAACGCUGGCGGCGUGGAUUAGGCAUGCAAGUCGAACGGUAUCAUCCUUUCGGGGGUGAGAGAGUGGCGAACUGGUGAGUAACACGUAGGUUAUCUACCCUCAAGACGGGGACAACCCAGGGAAACUUGGGCUAAUACCGGAUGUGAGCAACUUUUAGUUGUUUGAAAGGUGGCGUAAGCUGUCGCUUGGGGAUGAGCCUGCGUCCUAUUAGUUAGUUGGUGAGGUAACGGCUCACCUAGGCAAUGAUAGGUAGGCGGCCUUAACGGGUGGUCGCCCACACUGGGAUUGAGAUACGGCCCAGACUCCUACGGGAGGCAGCAGUCGAGAAUAGUCUACAAUGGUCGGAAGACUGAUAGUGCGACGCCGCGUGAACGAUGAAUCCCUUCGGGGUGUAAAGUUCUUUUAUAUGUGAGCAGUGCUUCUUAUAUUUAACAGUAUGGGGAGAGAGAUAUUAGCAUAUGAAUAAGCAACGGCUAACUCCGUGCCAGCAGCCGCGGUAAA
RNAcentral lists this ribosomal RNA (505 nucleotides) under uncultured bacterium. Its description in RNAcentral is "bacterial SSU rRNA". It matches the Rfam family "Bacterial small subunit ribosomal RNA", at positions 28 to 524 of the family's 1533-position model. The record is from RNAcentral.